GGGGAAUAUUGGACAAUGGGGGAAACCCUGAUCCAGCGACGCCGCGUGACUGAAGAAGUAUUUCGGUAUGUAAAGGUCUAUCAGCAGGGAAGAAAAUGACGGUACCUGACUAAGAAGCCCCGGCUAACUACGUGCCAGCAGCCGCGGUAAUACGUAGGGGGCAAGCGUUAUCCGGAUUUACUGGGUGUAAAGGGAGCGUAGACGGCGAUGCAAGUCUGGAGUGAAAGCCCGGGGCUCAACCCCGGGACUGCUUUGGAAACUGUGUUGCUAGAGUGCAGGAGAGGUAAGUGGAAUUCCUAGUGUAGCGGUGAAAUGCGUAGAUAUUAGGAGGAACACCAGUGGCGAAGGCGGCUUACUGGACUGUAACUGACGUUGAGGCUCGAAAGCGUGGGGAGCAAAC
This 400-nucleotide ribosomal RNA is filed under the name uncultured bacterium. RNAcentral's name for it is "bacterial SSU rRNA". It matches the Rfam family "Bacterial small subunit ribosomal RNA", at positions 356 to 773 of the family's 1533-position model. The record is from RNAcentral.